This 74-nucleotide ribosomal RNA is filed under the name Geobacillus subterraneus. Its description in RNAcentral is "partial 16S ribosomal RNA". It matches the Rfam family "Bacterial small subunit ribosomal RNA", at positions 1 to 74 of the family's 1533-position model. The record is from RNAcentral. Lineage: Bacteria; Bacillati; Bacillota; Bacilli; Caryophanales; Anoxybacillaceae.
CUUUUGGAGAGUUUGAUCCUGGCUCAGGACGAACGCUGGCGGCGUGCCUAAUACAUGCAAGUCGAGCGGACCGA